UACGUAGGGUGCAAGCGUUGUCCGGAAUUAUUGGGCGUAAAGAGCUCGUAGGCGGUUUGUCGCGUCGGCUGUGAAAAACUCGGGGGCUCAACCCCGAGCCUGCAGUCGAUACGGGCAGACUAGAGUGCUGUAGGGGAGACUGGAAUUCCUGGUGUAGCGGUGAAAUGCGCAGAUAUCAGGAGGAACACCGGUGGCGAAGGCGGGUCUCUGGGCCGUAACUGACGCUGAGGAGCGAAAGCAUGGGGAGCGAACAGGAUUAGAACUACCGUCGUAGUC
Molecule: ribosomal RNA, 276 nt
Filed under: uncultured bacterium
Lineage: Bacteria
Description: partial 16S ribosomal RNA
Rfam family: Bacterial small subunit ribosomal RNA
Source: RNAcentral